GUGCUUCACCUUCCCUGCUCGGUGCUAAGGUCUACUGGCAUUAUCCAAAGGAGUGAUGUGCUGUUCAGUCUGUACACCCAGCAUGCCACAGGGUGCCAGGAAAAAGGAAACAUACUGGAGAAGGGGCGCAUGGAAAUUGAGGAAAAUCAGCAUGGUCUUCAAUAGACUAUUUUGUUUUGUUUGUGUUCAGGAUAACCUCUGUCCCUCAAUAAUAUGAGAAUCUCCCGCACCCUGGAGGAGGUGCUCAUGUCUGGAGUUUCUGAUCCUGGGUGGUGGUGAGCAAGAGGAUUUAUAUCACAGCAUGGUGUGUUGAGCUACUCAGACAUGAGGAUGUGCCUUCCAUGCCCUCAA
Pseudopipra pipra is the source of this 351-nucleotide long non-coding RNA. RefSeq lists it as uncharacterized. Lineage: Eukaryota; Metazoa; Chordata; Aves; Passeriformes; Pipridae. The transcript is spliced from 3 exons. The record is from RefSeq and is a predicted model, not a curated record.